GCCUGGGUAGCUCAGUGGUAGAGCGCAAGACUGAAAAUCUUGGCGUCGGCAGUCCGAUUCUGCCCCCAGGCA
Molecule: transfer RNA, 72 nt
Filed under: Patescibacteria group bacterium
Lineage: Bacteria
Description: tRNA-Phe
Rfam family: tRNA
About the family: Transfer RNA (tRNA) molecules are approximately 80 nucleotides in length. Their secondary structure includes four short double-helical elements and three loops (D, anti-codon, and T loops). Further hydrogen bonds mediate the characteristic L-shaped molecular structure. tRNAs have two regions of fundamental functional importance: the anti-codon, which is responsible for specific mRNA codon recognition, and the 3' end, to which the tRNAs corresponding amino acid is attached (by aminoacyl-tRNA synthetases). tRNAs cope with the degeneracy of the genetic code in two manners: having more than one tRNA (with a specific anti-codon) for a particular amino acid; and 'wobble' base-pairing, i.e. permitting non-standard base-pairing at the 3rd anti-codon position.
Source: RNAcentral